CAACCAGAGACAGUUUCCGCUGUCUUCGUUGAACCCUGUGAUGACUCUGGAUAACUGUGAUGGUCGCAGCCGGCCUUGAGUCGGCGAAAGAUCUUUCAAAUAUCUGCCCUAUCAGUCUGUUGGUAGGUAAUCUGCCUACCAUGAUAAUAACGGGUAAAGGGGAAUCAAGAUUCGAUUCUGGCGAGUCAGCCUGAGGAAUGGCUAUCACAUCCGAGUACGGCAGCAGGCGCGAAAAUCACCUAAUCCAAACACGGGUAGAUAGUGACAGAAAAUACGAAUACGGGACUAAACUGAAGCUUCAACAUUCGAAUGUGUACAAUCUAGGUCUUUUAACGAGGACAAGCAGCCGCAGUAACUCCAGGUUCAAAAGCGUAUAUUAAAGUUGCUUCAGUUAGAAAGCUCGUAGUUGAACUUGGGUUGUGCGGUCGCGAGCCAUUGCCUGUUCACGAUUUUUGGUUACGAUCAGAA
Molecule: non-coding RNA, 468 nt
Filed under: Trichobilharzia regenti
Lineage: Eukaryota; Metazoa; Platyhelminthes; Trematoda; Strigeidida; Schistosomatidae
Description: Microsporidia small subunit ribosomal RNA
Rfam family: Eukaryotic small subunit ribosomal RNA
Source: Rfam by way of RNAcentral